Molecule: ribosomal RNA, 318 nt
Filed under: uncultured bacterium
Lineage: Bacteria
Description: bacterial SSU rRNA
Rfam family: Bacterial small subunit ribosomal RNA
Source: RNAcentral
GAUGAACGCUAGCGACAGGCUUAACACAUGCAAGUCGAGGGGCAGCGGGGGAGUAGCAAUACUCCCGCCGGCGACCGGCGCACGGGUGAGUAACACGUAUGAAACCUGCCCGUAGCAGGGGGAUAAGCGGAAGAAAUUCCGUCUAAUACCGCGUAACAACCCUUGGAGGCAUCUCCCCGGGGUUUAAAGGAAGCGAUUCCGGCUACGGAUGGUCAUGCGUCGCAUUAGCUAGUUGGCGGGGUAACGGCCCACCAAGGCGACGAUGCGUAGGGGUUCUGAGAGGAAGGUCCCCCACACUGGGACUGAGACACGGCCCAA